CCUACGGGAGGCAGCAGUGGGGAAUUUUGGACAAUGGACGCAAGUCUGAUCCAGCCAUGCCGCGUGCGGGAAGAAGGCCUUCGGGUUGUAAACCGCUUUUGUCAGGGAAGAAACGAGUUUCUCUAAUACAGAGACUUAAUGACGGUACCUGAAGAAUAAGCACCGGCUAACUACGUGCCAGCAGCCGCGGUAAUACGUAGGGUGCAAGCGUUAAUCGGAAUUACUGGGCGUAAAGCGUGCGCAGGCGGUUAUGCAAGACAGAUGUGAAAUCCCCGGGCUCAACCUGGGAACUGCAUUUGUGACUGCAUGGCUAGAGUACGGUAGAGGGGGAUGGAAUUCCGCGUGUAGCAGUGAAAUGCGUAGAUAUGCGGAGGAACACCGAUGGCGAAGGCAAUCCCCGUGGACCUGUACUGACGCUCAUGCACGAAGCGUGGGGANACAAACGAGGAUUAGACUACCCGUGGUACGUCCACCGACCCUAAACGAUACGUACUACGUUGGUUGGUUGGGUAGGUUUCUCUACAGUAACGAGCGUACGNGUAGAGUCG
RNAcentral lists this ribosomal RNA (548 nucleotides) under uncultured bacterium. Its description in RNAcentral is "bacterial SSU rRNA". It matches the Rfam family "Bacterial small subunit ribosomal RNA", at positions 338 to 871 of the family's 1533-position model. The record is from RNAcentral.